RNAcentral lists this ribosomal RNA (941 nucleotides) under Aculops strobilaceae. RNAcentral describes it as "partial 28S ribosomal RNA". It matches the Rfam family "Eukaryotic large subunit ribosomal RNA", at positions 366 to 944 of the family's 3401-position model. The record is from RNAcentral. Lineage: Eukaryota; Metazoa; Arthropoda; Arachnida; Trombidiformes; Eriophyidae.
AAAUAGAACUUUGCAGAGAGAGUUAAGAGGGCGUGAACCGUUGAUUGGCAACGAAUCGGAGCCACGAAGUCGUUUCGUCGUUAGUUGGGCGGAGUUCAGUCUGUGUCGCUCACGCGGCAGGGGCGUAUUCUCGCUGCUCAACCAGCUUUGUAAGCGUACACUGCAACCAGUUAGACGAUCAUGCCAUGGGCUGAGUGGUUCAGCGUGAGCAAUCACGCCGUUCCACGCACAACUUGUUCGCUCGCGGUAGUAGUAGCGCGGUUGCGUUUCGGCGCUUCUCGUGUUGCUGGCCGCGUGGCGAGUGAACUAUGGCUGAAUACUGACUGGCGAAAUGAAAAGCGUUUUAUGUGACGUUAGAGAAAAGGCGGUUAACCGCACGCGCGUCUACACGCUCGACUGUUGAGUCUAAGCUUGGCGUCUUUGAAUUCAGGCUUGCUCGCUACCAAUGGGGCAACUCUUGGUGCUUGUAUUGUCUCUGUCUAAUCGGGCGUCGACUUGGCGCGGCAUUGUUCGCGGCGUGAACUGAUAGGGCGUGUGUGCGAGCUAGCUCGCAAUUUGAAUUGGCAGUGAGUAGGUCGGCUUUCCGAACGACCCGUCUUGAAACACGGACCAAGGAGUCUAAUUAGGCAUCGAGUCGAUCGGUCUUGAUAGGCCAGAAGGGUGUGCUUCGGUACACCGAUUGAAGGCGUAGAGAAAUCAAAUCGUGUGAUCGUUUUGGCAACAACAGCCACUACGCGCAACAUGUGCCUGUUCGUAUGGCAACUUGUUAGCAAUAACUUGCCGGGCGGAGUAAAGAGAUGCUUGAUUGGGACCCGAAAGAUGGUGAACUAUGCUUGGGCAAAUUGAAGCCAGAGGAAACUCUGGUGGAGGAUUGUAGCGAUUCUGACGUGCAAAUCGAUCGUCAGACCUGAGUAUAGGGGCGAAAGACUAAUCGAACCAUC